CACUCAAAGCUAAAAGCAUUAAAUCCAAAACAAUUAGAGGGUUAAAACCAUAUACAAGUUCAAACGGCAAAAAACCAGUAGAAGAAUGAAUUGUUUUAUUCACCACAAACUCAAUAAAAGGUGAACAAUCUUUCCAAGUUUUUAAAUUCUUACCAACAACAACACGCAAUAAGGUCCCUAAUGUUCUAUUCACCACUUCAGUUUGACCAUCUGUCUGAGGAUAACUAGUAGUAGAGUAUAAUAAUUUUGUUCCAAACUUAACCUACAAUACUUUCCAAAAAUGACUUAAGAAUUUUACAUAAGGAUCAGAGAUAAUAGUUUGAAAACGUCAUGAAAGUGCACAACCUCUUUAGAAAAUAGAUCAGCAAUAUUUGUUACAUCGUCAGUUUUAUGGCAUGUAUUGAAAUGAGCUAUUUUACCAAAGCUGUCUACCACAACAAAAAUACUAUCUCUACCUUUCCUAGUUUUAAGGAAACCAAGAACAAAAUUCGUAGAUAUAUCAACUUAUGAAAUUAUAGAAACAGAUAAUAGGAUUUAGUACAAAAUUUUUCAACAUCUCUACGCAUGUGUAGCCAAUAAAAAUGUUCAGAUAACAUAUCCAAAGUUUUAUAUCCACCAAAAUGACCCAUCAAACCCCUACUAUGUGAUUCCAGAACAAAUAAAUCCUUUAUGGAAUAAAUAGGCACACAAAUCCUAUCACCUCGAAAAAAAAAA
This is a non-coding RNA of Arachis ipaensis, 714 nucleotides long. The record is from RefSeq and is a predicted model, not a curated record. Lineage: Eukaryota; Viridiplantae; Streptophyta; Magnoliopsida; Fabales; Fabaceae.